Molecule: small RNA, 28 nt
Filed under: Bombyx mori (domestic silkworm)
Lineage: Eukaryota; Metazoa; Arthropoda; Insecta; Lepidoptera; Bombycidae
Description: ovarian small RNA-4298
Source: RNAcentral
AAGGACGAUAAACAAAAUAUUGAAGGAA